GCCCUGACCUUGCUGGAGCUUGCUGAAGGCAGCAGAAGCCUCCUUGAAAAUGAUAUCUACAGCUUUUAGGAAGCUACCUACCUCACGGCAUGAGAGACUUGCUUGGGCUGUACUCUCUUGUAGGAGCCAGCUCCACCUUGAUGCAGCCUGGACCCACUGUGGACAGGAGGUUGAAGGACUGCAUGGACAGAAGCUGAGCUGGUGGACAUGGGGAGAAGGAGGAAGAGCAAACUGUAGCAUCUCAAAUGUGGGGCAGAGGACCUAUGCUGGAACUGUGAAGCUGUCAACAACUAGAACAGUCUCUACAGGACAUGCAAUAGUUCCGGCACUUGAGUGGGCAAAGUGCAGGUAGAGCCUGGGCAUUCCUGGUGAUGGUUUCUCAACUCUGUUUCCCAAGUGUACAUCAAUUUCAACCUUGAAAGCUCUGCUUACUCCAAGAAUAGUAACGUGGGCAGUGGGAAGCAGUGUGUGGUGUGAGCUGUAUGCCAUGGAGGGCGGAGGCACAGGGAGGAGAAGACGUGAACCAAAAGGCUCUGCCCUG
Molecule: long non-coding RNA, 541 nt
Organism: Centrocercus urophasianus (Greater sage-grouse)
Lineage: Eukaryota; Metazoa; Chordata; Aves; Galliformes; Phasianidae
Exons: 4
Source: RefSeq, a predicted model, not a curated record